RNAcentral lists this ribosomal RNA (497 nucleotides) under uncultured bacterium. RNAcentral describes it as "partial 16S ribosomal RNA". It matches the Rfam family "Bacterial small subunit ribosomal RNA", at positions 28 to 507 of the family's 1533-position model. The record is from RNAcentral.
GAUGAACGCUGGCGGCGUGCCUAAUACAUGCAAGUCGAGCGAACAGACGAGGAGCUUGCUCCUCUUACGUUAGCGGCGGACGGGUGAGUAACACGUGGAUAACCUACCUAUAAGACUGGGAUAACUUCGGGAAACCGGAGCUAAUACCGGAUAAUAUAUUGAACCGCAUGGUUCAAUAGUGAAAGACGGUUUUGCUGUCACUUAUAGAUGGAUCCGCGCCGCAUUAGCUAGUUGGUAAGGUAACGGCUUACCACGGCAACGAUGCGUAGCCGACCUGAGAGGGUGAUCGGCCACACUGGAACUGAGACACGGUCCAGACUCCUACGGGAGGCAGCAGUAGGGAAUCUUCCGCAAUGGGCGAAAGCCUGACGGAGCAACGCCGCGUGAGUGAUGAAGGUCUUCGGAUCGUAAAACUCUGUUAUUAGGGAAGAACAAAUGUGUAAGUAACUAUGCACGUCUUGACGGUACCUAAUCAGAAAGCCACGGCUAACUACGUG